GCGCCGAUGGUGUAAUGGCGUAGAGCAUUCCCGCCCGGUCAGAGGGAGGUGCGGGUUCGAGUCCCGCCUGGCGCU
Heligmosomoides polygyrus is the source of this 75-nucleotide non-coding RNA. NCBI's taxonomy places the organism in Eukaryota, Metazoa, Nematoda, Chromadorea, Rhabditida, Heligmosomidae. The record is from Rfam.